Molecule: non-coding RNA, 774 nt
Filed under: Pongo abelii (Sumatran orangutan)
Lineage: Eukaryota; Metazoa; Chordata; Mammalia; Primates; Hominidae
Source: RNAcentral
GACACCAGGAGUCCAGGCCCUGACUCCUUUGUGUCUCAGCUUGACCCCUUGAGACCACCCUCUUGCUUGGAGGUUUAUGCCAGCGGUGAGCUGGAGUCCUACCUCCUAUAUCCUGGUGGGUCACAAAUACUAACUUUAAAAGAAGCAAUGACACCCCCACCAGACACCCACUCCUGUGAAUAUGGAAAUAUGGCCCGGGAACCUCACUGCCGGGAAUACUCACCGGGUUAUACUCCCAAUAUGCCAGGAGGAUGUAGAAUAGUUCCCGCUGCCUAGGAAACAGAGAAAGGGGGCUUUGGUUUGUUUUGUGCAGAUGCUGUUAGUUUCACUUUGUCUACAAAGCCUAACAGCAAAUCCCAUUUCAGGUUCAGAUGAUUCACCAGAUAAGCAGUGAGCUCUUCAGGGCCUGAGACUGUUGAAGAAAUGUUUCAGUAAAAUCCACAUCUGUGACAUACAAAUAGCCCAGUUGUACAGUGACUUACCUGAUCCUUUUCACUGUGAAUGAUUUUUUUUUUUUUUCAGUUUGCACACACACCAGUUCAGUCUUUGGGUGUACAGUUCCUCCAGCGUCCUAAACCAAUGUGCAGAGUCUCCCGGCCACUGCUCCAGCCCCUCCUGGAGCAACUCCUUCAUCCUCCAAGUCUCCAGGGUGGCCCACAUGCACCCAGCCUCUCCCCGAUCCGUCAGCCCGUGGCCACCCAGACUGCUUCUCAGUCCCUAUGGUUUGGCCUUUUCCAGAAUGGCCUAGGAAUGGGAAUCCUUCUGUGGUAGCUU